GAUGAACGCUGGCGGCGUGCCUAAUACAUGCAAGUCGAGCGAACGGACGAGAAGCUUGCUUCUCUGAUGUUAGCGGCGGACGGGUGAGUAACACGGAUAACCUACCUAUAAGACUGGGAUAACUUCGGGAAACCGGAGCUAAUACCGGAUAAUAUUUUGAACCGCAUGGUUCAAAAGUGAAAGACGGUCUUGCUGUCACUUAUAGAUGGAUCCGCGCUGCAUUAGCUAGUUGGUAAGGUAACGGCUUACCAAGGCAACGAUGCAUAGCCGACCUGAGAGGGUGAUCGGCCACACUGGAACUGAGACACGGUCCAGACUCCUACGGGAGGCAGCAGUAGGGAAUCUUCCGCAAUGGGCGAAAGCCUGACGGAGCAACGCCGCGUGAGUGAUGAAGGUCUUCGGAUCGUAAAACUCUGUUAUUAGGGAAGAACAUAUGUGUAAGUAACUGUGCACAUCUUGACGGUACCUAAUCAGAAAGCCACGGCUAACUACGUG
This 495-nucleotide ribosomal RNA is filed under the name uncultured bacterium. Its description in RNAcentral is "partial 16S ribosomal RNA". It matches the Rfam family "Bacterial small subunit ribosomal RNA", at positions 28 to 507 of the family's 1533-position model. The record is from RNAcentral.